This 467-nucleotide ribosomal RNA is filed under the name uncultured bacterium. RNAcentral's name for it is "partial 16S ribosomal RNA". It matches the Rfam family "Bacterial small subunit ribosomal RNA", at positions 28 to 507 of the family's 1533-position model. The record is from RNAcentral.
GAUGAACGCUGGCGGCGUGCUUAACACAUGCAAGUCGAAUGGAAAGGCCCAAGCUUGCUUGGGUACUCGAGUGGCGAACGGGUGAGUAACACGUGGGUGAUCUGCCCUGCACUUCGGGAUAAGCCUGGGAAACUGGGUCUAAUACCGGAUAUGACCGCUUCUUGGAUGUUGUGGUGGAAAGUUUUUUCGGUGUGGGAUGAGCGCGCGGCCUAUCAGCUUGUUGGUGGGGUAAUGGCCUACCAAGGCGUCGCCGGGUAGCCGGCCUGAGAGGGUGUACGUCCACAUUGGGACUGAGAUACGGCCCAGACUCCUACGGGAGGCAGCAGUGGGGAAGAUUGCACAAUGGGCGGAAGCCUGAUGCAGCGACGCCGCGUGGGGGAUGACGGCCUUCGGGUUGUAAACUCGUUUCGCUAGGGGCGAAGCGUUUUGUGACGGUACCUGGAGAAGAAGCACCGGCUAACUACGUG